Molecule: ribosomal RNA, 372 nt
Filed under: uncultured bacterium
Lineage: Bacteria
Description: bacterial SSU rRNA
Rfam family: Archaeal small subunit ribosomal RNA
Source: RNAcentral
UCCUAGCCGUAAACGAUGUGGGCUGAGUGUUUCUUGAACUUCGAGUUCAAGAAGUGCUGAAGGGAAACCGUUAAGCCCACCGCCUGGGGAGUACGGUCGCAAGGCUGAAACUUAAAGGAAUUGGCGGGGGAGCACCACAAGGGGUGGAGUCUGCGGUUUAAUUGGAUACAACGCCGGGAAACUUACCAGGGGCGACGGCAGGAUGAAAGUCAGAUUAAUGAUCUUGCUGAACGAGCCGAGAGGUAGUGCAUGGCCGCCGUCAGCUCGUACCGUGAGGCGUGCGGUUAAGUCCGUUAACGAGCGAGACCCGUGCCUCUAUUUGCUACCUUCCUCGUGGGAGGGAGGGCACUAUAGAGGGACCGCUGGCGAUGA